CCUACGGGAGGCAGCAGUGGGGAAUAUUGCACAAUGGGGGAAACCCUGAUGCAGCGACGCCGCGUGAGUGAAGAAGUAUUUCGGUAUGUAAAGCUCUAUCAGCAGGGAAGAAAAUGACGGUCCCUGAUUAAGAAGCCCCGGCUAACUACGUGCCAGCCGCCGCGGUAAUACGUAGGGGGCAAGCGUAAUCCGGAUUUACGGGGUGUAAGGGGAGCGUAGACGGCAGGACAAGUCUGGAGUGAAAUGCCGGGGCUUAACCCCGGAACUGCUUUGGAAGCUGUGUAGCUAGAGUGCAGGAGAGGUAAGUGGAAUUCCUGGUGUAGCGGUGAAAUGCGUAGAUAUUAGGAGGAACACCAGUGGCGAAGGCGGCUUACUGGACUGUAACUGACGUUGAGGCUCGAAAGCGUGGGGAGCAAACAGGAUUAGAUACCCCAGUAGUC
This 440-nucleotide ribosomal RNA is filed under the name uncultured bacterium. Its description in RNAcentral is "partial 16S ribosomal RNA". It matches the Rfam family "Bacterial small subunit ribosomal RNA", at positions 338 to 795 of the family's 1533-position model. The record is from RNAcentral.